This is a non-coding RNA of Nemania abortiva, 119 nucleotides long. The record is from the annotation of a GenBank genome assembly. Lineage: Eukaryota; Fungi; Ascomycota; Sordariomycetes; Xylariales; Xylariaceae.
GGGCGAAUGGUCUAGAGGUAUGAUAUUCGCUUUGCAAGGUCAGGGAAUCACCCAAUCAGGUUGAUGUUGAUGAUAAUUGUGAUUGCGAAGGGUCCGGGGUUCAAUUCCCCGUUCGUCCA